ACGGAAGGCAGCAGUGGGGAAUAUUGCACAAUGGGGGAAACACUGAUGCAGCAACGCCACGUGUGGGAAGAAGCAUUUCGGUGUGUAAACCACUGUCGUGAGGGAAUAAUGCUUGGUCUCGGCCAAGUUGAAUGUACCUCGAAAGGAAGCACCGGCAAACUUCGUGCCAGCAGCCGCGGUAAUACGAGGGGUGCAAGCGUUGUUCGGAAUCACUGGGCGUAAAGGGAGCGCAGGCGGAGAUGCAAGCAGUCUGUACAAUACCGGGGCCCAACCCCGGACCUGCAGACUGGACUGUUUCUCUUGGAUAGUUCAGGGGCAAGCGGAAUUCCUGGUGUAGCGGUGGAAUGCGUAGAGAUCAGGAAGAACACCGAUGGCGAAGGUAGCUUGCUGGGGACUUAUCGACGCUCAUGCUCGAAAGUGUGGGUAGCAAACAGGAUUAGAUACCCUGGUA
This 451-nucleotide ribosomal RNA is filed under the name uncultured Fibrobacter sp. RNAcentral's name for it is "bacterial SSU rRNA". It matches the Rfam family "Bacterial small subunit ribosomal RNA", at positions 341 to 792 of the family's 1533-position model. Lineage: Bacteria; Pseudomonadati; Fibrobacterota; Fibrobacteria; Fibrobacterales; Fibrobacteraceae. The record is from RNAcentral.